Molecule: unclassified non-coding RNA, 253 nt
Filed under: uncultured Actinomycetes bacterium
Lineage: Bacteria; Bacillati; Actinomycetota; Actinomycetes
Description: uncultured actinobacterium contains 16S-23S intergenic spacer region
Rfam family: Bacterial small subunit ribosomal RNA
Source: RNAcentral
UACGUAGGGUGCGAGCGUUGUCCGGAAUUAUUGGGCGUAAAGAGCUCGUAGGCGGCGUGUCGCGUCGGAUGUGAAAGCCUGGGGCUUAACCCCGGGUUGGCAUUCGAUACGGGCAGGCUGGAGUACGGCAGGGGAGAUCGGAAUUCCUGGUGUAGCGGUGAAAUGCGCAGAUAUCAGGAGGAACACCGGUGGCGAAGGCGGAUCUCUGGGCCGAUACUGACGCUGAGGAGCGAAAGCGUGGGGAGCGAACAGG